This is a long non-coding RNA of Dermacentor silvarum, 4680 nucleotides long. RefSeq lists it as uncharacterized. The transcript is spliced from 2 exons. The record is from RefSeq and is a predicted model, not a curated record. NCBI's taxonomy places the organism in Eukaryota, Metazoa, Arthropoda, Arachnida, Ixodida, Ixodidae.
GGCAAAUUUAUGCCUAAGGCAUUGGGCAAGGCUUCCGAUACCAGGUUCUAGAAGAACCAAGAACUCCACUGACAACUUGAGCAGUUGAUGAUGCCUGCUCCAAUGCCAGUUGCAAUACCAAAGUUGAAUGCAGUUAAAGGAGUAGUGUGCUGGUUACACGAGAGCACAGUGCAUUUCACAAAAAAGCACACUUCUGAUUUGUGUGUGGUCUCUGUGCUUGUUAUGCACACCAAAGUUUACACAUCACAUCCGAGUUUUUCUGUUCUUUUUUUUGCGCACACUUUCACAUGUUUGUCAUAUUUAUUUGUAUAGUUUUGCACCCUGCUCAUUGACGAGUGAACCAUGGUCUAAAUAAAAUGCAAAUGUGAAGUUAGAAAGCCUUAAGUCUAGUGAAUACUGCACAGAAAUAGGGCAGCAGUUAUUGAGGGUUCCUUCAUUGGCUUCGAGUUCCCUGCAGCACAUGUGCAACAGGAGUUGUGGAGAAUUGCAGCACCCUUAGUGGACACACGUUAUGCGUAGUCCUUAAGCAUGCAUUGCUAAUAGCUCUGGAGUAAUUAGAUGUUAAUGACGCAUAGGGCACAUAUCGCAGUAUUUCUCUGGUAGUCACUGCCUUAAGCACUCUCUUGCUUGUUCUCUGGAGUGUGCUUGAGAAUUUUGGUCGAGGUGCCUUGAAUGUCCUGGAUUCCCAAUCAUGUGAUGUUUGCUCCUUACAGUCUGUGUUUGUUAAAGUUAAGCCACAAUAUAUGCGUCUUCAUUGUGUAAGUCUGGUGGCGACUGUACUGCUAUCAACUUGCAUGCAUUCUGGUGUGAUUGCCUUGCAAAAUCAGUGUAACUGCACUGAUUUAGAAAGGAGGCUUUUGCAAGGCUUUAAUUAAGGGGGCCUGUGUAGUUUAUUAGAAAAAAUGCUUUCAUGUGCCUGACUCAACAUAUCCAAGCUAACAUGAAUCGAAAACUGGGCGAGUAGGACAGUUUCAUGGUUAACAUGGCAAAAAAAAAAUGACGACAGGGAAAAAGUAGGGACACUGUGAGCGCUAUUUUUCAACUGAAGGUUUAUUGAAAACAUUUUCCGAAUAAAUAUGCAAGUUCACGCACAAAGAAAAAAAAAAAAGAUGAAAUUGUCCAAAAUGGCUGGCUCAGACCUGUGCAUGCUUUUCGAUCUGUAAAGCUUUGGCAAUUUCACGGGUGCACUUAUCUAUGAACAUCAUAAGUAUGUAAGUGUUACUGAAAUCGUGAACAUCCACGUGACCAACACUGACUUGAUAAAUAAAGGCUAAGUGCACCUUUUAGCAAAUUAAAAUGUUCCCUCAAGCAGAUAAUGAUAAAUCAGCCAGUUUGUCCUAGCUAAUCUUUGCCACAAGACAGCGCAACCUUGUAAGCAACAUCUUGUCGUAUUUCUUUUGUGACCCUGUAUAUUUAAUUGGCACAUGUUUUCAAUAAACUUUCAUUUAAAAGACAGAGCUCGUUUCGUCUACUUUUUCCUUGUCCCCGUCUUUAUUGUGCUGUAAAUCCCGAAUAUCCAAGGUACAUAUAAGAACCCAUAAUUUAUUGCAAAGAAAGUAUGGAGGUGCUUUUUCUAUGCCUCCACAUUGCACUUCAUUUUUGAAGUGCAGUGUGAAGCAUCAAGCUAUCAUGAGCUUUGUUUCUGUUUAGCAUCUAUAUAUUUCUGUUGUGCUAGCUUGCACUCGGGUAAGAGAUCUUUUUCACAUUUCAGGUUGCAUUUUUGUGCAACUCAGUGCAAACUGUUUUUUUUUUUUUUCUGUCAUAAACACCGUUCAUGAAAGGCACCUCUAAACGUAAACCAAAUUAACAUCUUUAACUUGCUCAUCAGUGCAGUAGUAAACACUGCGUAGUAAAAACAUAGACAGUGCACGCAGAAGAAUGAUUGAAAUUUUUAAUCUCUUCUUCUGUUUGUUCUUAGUGACGCUGAAUAUGCAUGAAAUGCAUUCAAAGCAACAUCUUUAACAGGCGUGAAUUAUUUGAUGACUGGAGGGGAUAUCAAAGUCAUUAGAUGGCCAGGUGGCAUAAGAAAAGCCACACAAGGGAAAUCAGUUUUUAAUAUAGCGGCAUUACCAGACCCAUGGUUCUCUUGUUAUACACAUUUGUAUGCGUCCUUUCCUGUUUUCUUUUUUUCUUUUCUAGUGCACCUGUUUGACCAAUUGCAUUUUUAUUCACAAUGUCAAACGGUAUGUGACUGGUUGUGAACUUUCUUCACUUGAUGACCAGGAUUUAACGGCGGUCAGUGUAAACGACCGAGCAACAUAAUCAGGUGAUUGCUUGGUGAGCUGAUCAAUUGACACUCGCACUUGCUCUCUAAGGUUUAUGUCUGUGACUUUCACGAAAUGUAGAUGCCAUGGUUGUUGAAAAAAAACUCGAGGUUGUGCGAAUCGCUAGAUGUGUGGUGCGACCUAACAUUUGCUGCCUUUUUGUGGAAGUUGGCAGUGAGAGUCACUCAUAGAGCCAUGCGUUAGGGGUGCAAAACGUUGCAGCUACCUGAAUCAGAAUGCUAUAGUUCUCUCUGUGACUUGGGAAGUGUGUAAUAAGGUGCUGUGCUGGUCUUGUACAUCAUAAGGAUGUGCCAGAGGAUGCUUAGUUUGACCUGCUUAUGUGAGCUGUACAGUGCACAGAGAUAAUGGAUGAAGGAUAAGGGGAACACAGUACACAGCACUAAACUAACAAAGAACAUAUUUAUUGAAAGGAGGCUUGAUAAUAUAGGCUAAGAUAAUAUUGCUGAAGGAUAACGGAAAACAAUAUUGGGGUCCUGUUCUAAGGUCUCCUAUGGCACUGGAAUAGUCAUCACUCAUGAUUUCAUUGUGGUUCCACGAAAUGUCAUACUCCUCUGUGGUUGCCGAGUGGCUAUGGCAGUUGCACUGCUGCGCUUGAGGUCGCGAGUUCAAUCUUGCCCGUGGUGGCCGCAUUUCAGUGGGGGCGAAAUGCAAAAACACUUUUGUACUUAGAUUUAGGUGCAUGUUAAAGAAGCCCAGGUGGCCAAAAUUAAUCCCAUUAUGGCAUGCCACAUAAUCAGAUCAUGGUCUUUUGCACGUGAUACCUCAAAAUUAACUUAUUUGUCAUAAGAAGCAUAUGUUCAGCAGUUGCUAUUUGUUUGCAUGCAUUGCACAAGACUUGAUUCUUUCUCUAUGUCUGCCAAGUUUUGUUUCGUCUUUCUUCCAUUGUCUGUGUGUACUGCAUGCUUCACGUGAAGUCUCGUGUGACCGGAAUUGUACAGAACACGACCAUGAUGUAAUAUGUACCGGGUGCGCGACCUAUUUGAAGACAUGACGUCAAAUCACCUAGACAUUAACAUUCUCAUUCUAUCUGCUUCACUUCAUCUUCCACAACCCCUUCGUCACCUAUCUAGCACAAUUAUUCCAGGAUAUCAGCUUUCAGUUGUACAAAUGAGAUGAAUCCGUAUGGUGUCCUAGUUGCCUUACAUGCCGGCCACAGCAACAUCGAGACUGACACCUUCAUUGUCUUGAAGGCAACAAUCAUCAGGUGCCACUCUUAAGUAAUUGAUUUGCUUGCUCCUACAGGGCCAGUGCCACCCAAGAAUGGGUAGCUGUGAACUUCUAUGGUCACGUAGCCCUCAAUGUGGUGUCCUAAUUUUGAAUAUAAACCUGCUAUACCGCUACGUAUGCAGGGCAUCACUGAGAGGGAGAGUAACAAACAGCCACCAGAUCAUAAAAACUCACUAAAUGCUGUUAUCGUAGAAGCACUGCCGAAAACCAGCAUGCACUAUCUGAUCGAAACAUGCAGCCGUUAUCGAAGCAAAAUUGAGUCAGUAAUUGAGGAUCAAGAUGCUCUUGUUCAACUGCCUUAGAAGACACAGGCAAAUAGAACAGUGUAAAAAUUUUUAAACGAAUAUAGCAAUUCUUGUCUGAAAUAUCCUCGCUGUUCAUGAAGUUGUCACUUUGUCCUCAAAUACCUCGUGCACCCAGUACAUGGUGCAGCAGCGGGAAAUGAAUUCAUUCUCACCUGUUGCUAGCAAAUUUAAGAGCUCAUACCCUAUGCAUUUUUGAAACCUAGAGCUGUCUUUUAUUACUAUAGAAACAGUGCUAAUUGUUGACUGCCAAUGAAACAUACCUCUAUUUGACAUGGCAAAGCAACAUUUUUUUUUUCAUAUUGUCUCUACUUAUUUAUGCCUAUUGCCUUUAGAGCAGCUGUCGUUUCUUGUUCAUUGUGUUAGUUGGCAGGUGUGGUUAGCUUGUAAGACAGGGAUAAAUAGUUUUUAAUUUCCUUGGUACCUGGUUUCUCAUUUAUUAUGUUUAGCACAUUUUGCACUGGCCAGAGUACCUGAAUGGCUUGGCAUUUAUAGAAUCUGCAUUUCUGUGGUGGAUGUCUAUGUCUAACCUAUUUCUCACGAAUUCAAAGAGCCCAUGCAUAGUUGCUGUGUCAUGUUUAUUCCAGUGUAGAUUCUGCUAAUUUUUACUUUUGUCAUUUAUUUCUUGCACUCGUUUCCACUGUUGAAAUUGCACUUACUACUUUCUUUCAGUAAAGAUAUCGGACGUCUUGUUUGAAGUAAACAAUUCUGGUUAUUGUCAUUAAAAAUAUUUGGUGCAAUUUCUUAAAUGAGAACGAAUAUUGAUAUUAUUGUUAAACCAGCAUUGCGUUCUACAAUACCAUGUAUGCUUUAAAAUGAUUCAGCCAUAUAGUCUUUAAUAAAGAAAAAAUCGGUUUCAAGUACAA